UAAUACAUCGGAACGUGUCUUCUUGGGGGGAGUAACUGCCCGAAAGGGCAGCUAAUACCGCAUGAGACCUGAGGGUGAAAGCGGGGGGAUCGCAAGACCUCGCGCUGGAAGAGCGGCCGAUGUCCGAUUAGCUAGUUGGUGAGGUAAAGGCUCACCAAGGCGACGAUCGGUAGCUGGUCUGAGAGGACGACCAGCCACACUGGGACUGAGACACGGCCCAG
This 221-nucleotide ribosomal RNA is filed under the name uncultured bacterium. RNAcentral's name for it is "partial 16S ribosomal RNA". It matches the Rfam family "Bacterial small subunit ribosomal RNA", at positions 111 to 334 of the family's 1533-position model. The record is from RNAcentral.